RNA transcript from Elephantulus edwardii (Cape elephant shrew), 1659 nucleotides. It is a transcript of the gene named tubulin beta chain-like, with no coding region annotated. The transcript has a single exon. The record is from RefSeq and is a predicted model, not a curated record. Lineage: Eukaryota; Metazoa; Chordata; Mammalia; Macroscelidea; Macroscelididae.
CAGAUCUUGCUGCUCCAGCCUCCAGGGCACUUACCAUCCUCACAGCCUGUGAUCCACAGAGGGGGGGAAAAAUAACUAUAUAUCGUUCUUUUGUCCCACGCACACCCGAGGCGAGAAGAAAAACCCCCAACACCCAAACCUUAAUUUUCCACCAUGAGGGAAAUCGUGCAUAUCCAGGCUGGUCAGUGUGGCAACCAGAUCGGCGCCAAGUUCUGGGAGGUGAUCAGUGAUGAACACGGCAUUGACCCCACCGGCACCUACCAUGGGGACAGCGACCUGCAGCUGGACCGCAUCUCAGUGUACUACAAUGAAGCCACAGGUGGCAAAUAUGUUCCUCGUGCUAUCUUGGUGGAUCUAGAACCUGGAACCAUGGACUCGGUUCGCUCAGGUCCUUUUGGCCAGAUUUUCAGACCAGACAACAUUGUUUUUGGUCAGUCUGGGGCAGGCAACAACUGGGCCAAGGCCCACUAUACCGAAGGGGCCGAGCUGAUUGAUUCCGUCUUGGAUGUGGUGCGGAAGGAGGCUGAGAGCUGUGAAUGCCUGCAGGGCUUCCAGCUGACCCACUCCCUCGGUGGAGGCACAGGCUCCGGAAUGGGCACCAUGCUCAUCAGCAAGAUCAGAGAAGAGUAUCCUGACCGCAUAAUGAAUACCUUCAGUGUGGUGCCUUCACCCAAAAUAUCCGACACUGUGGCUGAGCCCUACAAUGCUACCCUCUCUGUCCACCAGUUGGUAGAGAACACCGAUGAGACCUACUGCAUUGAUAAUGAAGCCCUCUACGAUAUCUGCUUCCGUAUCCUCAAGCUGACCACACCAACCUAUGGAGACCUCAACCACCUUGUCUCAGUCACCAUGAGCGGCGUCACCACCUGCCUCCGCUUCCCUGGCCAGUUCAAUGCUGACCUCCGCAAGCUGGCUGUCAACAUGGUGCCAUUCCCACGUCUCCAUUUCUUCAUGCCUGGCUUUGCCCCACUAACCAGCUGUGGUAGUCAGCAGUACUGGGCCCUUACUGUGCCUGAGCUCACCCAGCAAGUCUUUGAUGCCAAGAACAUGAUGGCUGCUUGUGACCCCCGCCAUGGCCGCUACCUCACUGUGGCUGCUGUCUUCCGAGGACGGAUGUCCAUGAAGGAGGUGGAUGAGCAGAUGCUUAAUGUACAGAAAAGAAUAGCAGCUACUUUGUGGAAUGGAUCCCCAACAACAUCAAGACCGCUGCCUGUGACAUCCCGCCCCGUGGCCUCAAGAUGGCAGUUACCUUCAUUGGCAAUAGCACCGCCACCCAGGAGCUCUUCAAGUGUAUCUCAGAGCAGUUCACCGCCAUGUUCCGCCAGAAGGCCUUCCUCCACUGGUACACCGGUGAGGGUACAGACGAGAUGGAGUUCACCGAGGCCAAGAGCAACAUGAAUGACCUCGUUUCUGAGUACCAACAGUACCAAGAUGCCACCGCAGAGGAGGAGGAAGACUUCGGUGAGGAGCCUGAAGAGGAGGCUUAAGGCAGAGUGUCCUAUCACCUAGGGCUUCUCAGCUCCCUCAGCCUUCUUCCUCAACUUCCCCUUUCCUCUCCCUCAGAAUUUGCAUUUCUGCCUCUAUCUUUUUUUUUCUCCUUGAGGGAGUUCUAGAACAGUGCCUGGCACAUAGUAGGCGCUCAAUAAAUAAUUGUUGUUU